This 521-nucleotide ribosomal RNA is filed under the name uncultured bacterium. Its description in RNAcentral is "bacterial SSU rRNA". It matches the Rfam family "Bacterial small subunit ribosomal RNA", at positions 373 to 885 of the family's 1533-position model. The record is from RNAcentral.
GGACGAAAGUCUGAUGGAGCAACGCCGCGUGAGCGAAGAAGGCCUUCGGGUCGUAAAGCUCUGUUGUUAGGGAAGAACAAGUAUCGGAGUAACUGCCGGUACCUUGACGGUACCUAACCAGAAAGCCACGGCUAACUACGUGCCAGCAGCCGCGGUAAUACGUAGGUGGCAAGCGUUGUCCGGAAUUAUUGGGCGUAAAGCGCGCGCAGGCGGUCCUUUAAGUCUGAUGUGAAAGCCCACGGCUCAACCGUGGAGGGUCAUUGGAAACUGGGGGACUUGAGUGCAGAAGAGGAAAGCGGAAUUCCACGUGUAGCGGUGAAAUGCGUAGAGAUGUGGAGGAACACCAGUGGCGAAGGCGGCUUUCUGGUCUGUAACUGACGCUGAGGCGCGAAAGCGUGGGGAGCAAACAGGAUUAGAUACCCUGGUAGUCCACGCCGUAAACGAUGAGUGCUAAGUGUUAGGGGGUUUCCGCCCCUUAGUGCUGCAGCUAACGCAUUAAGCACUCCGCCUGGGGAGUACGG